Mesocricetus auratus (golden hamster) is the source of this 965-nucleotide long non-coding RNA. RefSeq lists it as uncharacterized. The record is from RefSeq and is a predicted model, not a curated record. NCBI's taxonomy places the organism in Eukaryota, Metazoa, Chordata, Mammalia, Rodentia, Cricetidae. The transcript is spliced from 3 exons.
CCCAGUAAGCUGCAGGUUCCUGACCUGCUUGAGUUCUUACUGUAGGGAGAGGUCUACAUACCCGUAGCGCUGACUACACCCGUUUGGGUGUGUUCAUAGGUACAUAGGACAUAUUUGGGUUCCAGUUUCGGCCUGGAGAGCAGCGUGCGGACCUUUGGUUCUCCACUUUCUUGGCUUCUCAUGUGCCUUGGGCACGGUGUUCCAUCACAGCUAAGUUUCUACCCUGGCUAAGACAGAAGAGAAAAGGCGUCACCAAGGGUCAUUCAACUCAAAAGCUAAGGCUGCUGGGGUCGCGGCUAAAGAGCCAGGAUGUUGACUGCAUGGAAGCCCUGUGGAAGAGCCAUGUUCUCCUACUGCAAGUCACAUGACCGGUGAGAGGCAAAUCUGAGUCAGCGUCAUUAGCGCCUAACAAGAAAUUAUAACCCACUUAAAUUUCAUUUUCCAGUACUCCCAUAAGGACCUAAAACUAAGUAAAAUUUCUCUGCCACAGUUCUUACAAAACACGUGCUUGCUUUUUCUAGUUCUCUAGAAGUUUUUUUUUUUAAGUUUUAUUUUCUGGGGUUUUGUUGCGUGUCUACAUUCCCAUGGUCAUCAAAAUCACCAUGAGCAAAACUGUGCCCUAGAAGACUAAAAGACAAGACGAGCCAGAACCUGGAAGGCAGAUGCCCUUUAAGAGAAACCAGAGUCUCCUGGGGCAAACGAGCCUCAAGAGAAUUAGAUGGUAGUAUAUGGCUUUAUGCGGUAAAGUUAACAUAUGGCAAUGAAUAACGAAGAAUUUGCAAGGUAGGAAAGCCACUACGAGUUACAAGGUUUAAGUGUGAACCUUGCAGAUAGUGGCAUUCAAUAACUGUUGGCUUAAUAUUGCAGGGCAUAACAUUCCUAUCAUUUUACAACUUAGAAGGUGGUUUGACUUAGAGAAUGUGGGACUAGAGCCACGCAAAACUGCUGACGCUCGCAGUUCUAUA